ACCCAAGUCUGCCAGUCUCUGAG
This 23-nucleotide non-coding RNA is filed under the name Cricetulus griseus (Chinese hamster). The record is from RNAcentral. Lineage: Eukaryota; Metazoa; Chordata; Mammalia; Rodentia; Cricetidae.